ACAUCGUAGAUAUUCCUUCUCGCUAAUUAUUGGUUUUCUUUUUGCCAUAAACAAUUAGGAAUAUGCUGGGGCCAUAUGCUGAUGAUGACAAAUAGUGAAACAUGUUAACCUCAGGGAGACACAAGCUUUGGGCACAAAGUCCACAAGGACGAGUUAUGGAGGCCCAGGGGGACAGUGCUGCCACAGUUGUUUCUCCAAAUCCAGAUUCAGAUUUUAUGGAUGAGCGAGGCGAUGCCUCAUCUCAUGAAGGCAACACUCCGGUGGUAGAUGCACAGGAAAGUGAAGCCACAAAUCUUCAUGCUGAACCUCAAGCAGCAGAGCAGUCAGUGAAGGAAAGUAAACCAGGUGGAGCAGCUGGCUCAGGUAGAGUUGCUGGAAAUAAUGGUGAAAAAGACAGUAUAGCAUCUGAUGAAAAUGUGGACUUGACACAAGAUGACAAAGAAGGUAGCUCCGAUUCUCAGAGUGAACCAUUUGAGAUGCUGAAAAUACCAGAUCCAGGGGAGGCAACUCCAACACAUUCCAACAUUAGUGACGAGGCUGAAAUACUGGACGCAGCAAAGGAAGUAGACCAAGACAGUGUGAAAGAAAAGGAUGUGCCUGAGGAGAAGGAGGAGGAGGAGGAAGAUGGUGGUUAUGUGGACAUAUUAGGAAAUGGUUUGCUGAGGAAGAAGGUGAUAAAGAAGGGAGAAGGUCGUGAUUCACGCCCUAACCAUGGUGACGUGGUUACACUAAAGGCUGAGGGUCGUCUUGAGAAUGGUAGAGCUGUAGACAAACAGGAUACUGUCACAUUUACACUUGGAGAUGGCGAUGUUAUACAAGCCUGGGACCUGGCAGUUUCAUUGAUGGAGAUGGGCGAGGCCUGUGAACUCAUUACAGCAGCAAAAUAUGCCUUUGGAGCCACUGGCAGAGAGCCUGAUAUCCCAGGUGAUGCCACCAUCACAUACACCCUGGAACUCCUUAACAAAGAGCAAAGCCCCUUGCUCAGCAGCCUGUCGGUGAAAGAGCGAUACACAAAAGGGGAAACAAAGCGAGAGAGAGGCAAUUACCUGUUUGGAAGGAAGGAUUACACUGGUGCCAUUAACUCCUAUUCUAAAGCCAUCACAAUACUAGAAUAUCCUGGCAGCACUGAUGGCGCUGAAACCAACACGUUGCAGGAAAUCCUGGACUGCAAGCUGAAAUGCUACAACAAUUUGGCUGCUUCUCAACUGAAAAUUGAUGCGUAUGAUGCAGCAAUCAGAUCCUGUGAAGGGGUACUGAAGAGUCAGCCAGAAAAUGUUAAAGCACUCUACAGAAUAGGAAAGGCCUACAGUUCCAAAGGUGAUAACGAGAAAGCUUUAUCUUAUCUGAAGAAGGCACUGAACAUAGAUCCAGCGUCAAAGAUUAUACACACAGAAUUGUCAAAGUUGAGUCAGAAGUUGAAAGCAGACACAGACUCUGAGCGUGCAAUGUACCGGAGAAUGAUGGGAGCAAAUAAGCCGACAAAGAAACCAACUAAUGGUCCAUCAUGGUGGAAGAUGCCCCUGAUAUUUGGUGGUGUGAUGGCAGGUGUGGUAUCUGUCGGUCUAGCAGUGGCGUACAGAUAUGGCCAGCACUGACGGCGGGGGGUGCCACAUGAUAAGAGGAGGGGGCGUGACAGUGUGAGAGUGGGGUGAUACAGUGAGACAUUCUGACACCUAGGGGUGUGACAGUGUGACUACUAGGGAUGUGUCAGUGUGACAUUGUGAGAACUAGGGCUGCUAUAUUUUAACAGCUAGGGGUGAUACAGUGUGACAUUUUGUGACACCUAGGGAUGUGUCAGUGUGACACCAA
RNAcentral lists this unclassified non-coding RNA (1809 nucleotides) under Haliotis rubra (blacklip abalone). RNAcentral's name for it is "peptidyl-prolyl cis-trans isomerase FKBP8-like, transcript variant X3". The record is from RNAcentral. Lineage: Eukaryota; Metazoa; Mollusca; Gastropoda; Lepetellida; Haliotidae.